ACAGCAGCCCCAGCAGAGCUGCCGGUUCCGGGGUUGGCGCCCGGCGUGGGCGGCGCUUCAGUGUCUCAUAGAUGUGAGUCCAAUGGAACUGCCCGGGGAAGACGAGCAGCCUCAGCUUCCGCAGCCCUGGGGCCGGCUUCUUCGCCUGGGCGCGGAGCAGGGCGAACCGCACGUCCUCCUGCGGAAGCGCGAAUGGACCCUCGGGCGCCGGAGAGCACCAAUGGAACAGUAAUCAACAAGUUGAAGGUUGUUAAGAAGCAAACUUAUCCUUUACAGACUGGGGAUGUCAUCUACCUGGUGUACAGGAAGAAUGAGCCGGAAUAUAAUGUGGCGUACCUCUACGAAUCUUUAAAUGAAAAGCAAGGCGUGACACAGGAAUCCUUUGAAGCCAAUAAAGAAAACAUGUUCCACAUGACCAAAGAUGCCUCAGGUCCAGGGCGGGGGGAUGGCCUCCAGGUCCCACCACCAUUGCCUGCUGCCCAACUGUGCUUGGAAGAACCACAGCCAUCGACAUCGACAUCAGACCUCUUCUCCACAGCUGCUUCCUCUUCCACGGAGCUGAGCUGUGUAGCGCGAGAACAUUCCUCCAGCUCAGGGUCUGGAGAUGCAGGCAUCUCCCCAAAAGGAUGUGGUCCAUUUGUAGCAAGUGACGAACUCUCCAGCCUCACUUCAGCUCUCCCAGACAGAGAUGGUGCACCCUAUUCUUUGUUAGGGCCCCAGCACCAGGAGGAUUUGGAGCCCAUGAAGAAGAAGGUGAAAGAAGAUGGGGAGCUGGAUCCAAACCUGCCAUCGGUGGUCACAGACCAGUGUAGAAGUGCCCAGGCCACCCAUGAGGACACAAGAGCUGUCACCAUGAAGCCAGACAAGAUGGAAGAGACUCUCACAUGCAUCAUCUGCCAGGACCUGCUUCAUGACUGUGUGAGUUUGCAGCCUUGCAUGCACACGUUCUGUGCAGCCUGCUACUCUGGUUGGAUGGAGCGCUCAUCCCUGUGCCCCACAUGCCGGUGUCCAGUGGAGAGAAUCUGUAAAAACCACAUCCUCAACAACCUUGUGGAAGCAUACCUCAUCCAGCACCCAGACAAGAGUCGCAGUGAAGAUGAUGUGCGAAGUAUGGAUGCCAGGAAUAAAAUCACUCAAGACAUGCUGCAGCCCAAAGUUAGGAGGUCUUUCUCUGAUGAGGAAGGGAGUUCAGAUGACCUGCUGGUGCUGUCAGAUGUUGACAGCGAAUCCUCAGACAUAAGCCAGCCAUACAUUGUGUGCAGACAGUGUCCGGAGUACAGAAGACAAGUGAUGCAGCCCCUUUCCUGCCCAGCAUCAGACAGCGUACUGGGGGCCCCACAGACCCUUGGGCGGGAUGCACCAUCAACCUCCACCAGCUUCACCUCAGCCCAGGACUACGAGUGCCCUGUGCAAGGAAGCCACGCCAUCUGCACCUGCUGCUUCCAGCCCAUGCCUGACCGGAGAGCUGAGCGCGAGCAGGAUCCCCACGUCCCACCCCAGCAGUGUGCAGUUUGUCUGCAGCCCUUCUGCCACCUGUACUGGGGCUGUACCCGGACUGGCUGCUCCGGCUGCCUCGCCCCAUUCUGUGAGCUCAACCUGGGGGACAAGUGUCUGGAUGGAGUGCUGAACAACAACAACUACGAGUCAGACAUCCUGAAGAAUUACCUGGUAACCAGGAGUCUGACAUGGAAAAACAUGUUGUCAGAAAGUCUCAUGGCUCUGCAGCGGGGAGUGUUUUUACUGUCUGAUUACAGGGUGACUGGGGACACAGUGCUGUGCUACUGCUGUGGCCUGCGCAGCUUCCGCGAGCUGAGCUAUCAGUACCGGCGGAACAUUCCCGCUUCUGAAUUGCCGGCGGCUGUGACAUCCCGUCCUGACUGCUACUGGGGCCGUAACUGCCGCACGCAGGUGAAGGCCCACCAUGCGAUGUGAGUGGCAGGAGUUACCUGUCUGCUGAAAAGCACAGACUUGUGGCUGGAGAUGGAGUGCAGUGGCAGAGAAAUUUAAUCAUAUCUGUGAGCAGACAAGGUUCAAGAACUGAACAUCAGGGCGACAACACAUAGCACCGCGCCUCGGAGAGGGCACUGGUGUGUUGGAAACUGAGUGCAGACGCUCUUAAGGGCGCUCACUGUCCCCAGCAUUGCUGGCUGGGCUCUGGGCAGGGGCUGUGGGGGACAUUUCCUGCUGUGGAGCUUUACCCUGAGUGAGAUGCCCAGGCCGCCUGCAGGCUGAGGUGGCAGCGCCAACCUCCUGCUGAGCACGGGUGGCGGAGCCCACAUGCAGGCCUCCAGCCAGACUCACAGUUGUACCCACUCUCCACAAGUGGUGACAGUGCAGGUUUGCUCUUUGUGUCCUUUUUCCAUAAUUGUGGCUAAAAUGAAGAUCUCUUGAGGAAAAAUUUCAUGGGAGAAAGGGAAAAGUGUGUCAGAAGUGCUCUGCUAGGGAAAAGGAGCAUAAGUUUACAGCAUACAGGAUGUGCAGAAUACUCCGCUGUCAGUACAACCACAGCCUUUUAUAUAUAUUUUAUUUUAAUAGGUUUGGUGCUUAUCUUCUAAUAAGAUUUAAAGAUCACAAUCUGUAGCACAAAUGAUAUAAUUUAUAAUUUACAAAUUGACUAAAUUGGGGGAUAGUAUAUUUGAAAGGUUUCUGUUUGUUAAGAAAGUGAUCCAGGGUCCCAGACUGCUAACCUGGACAAAGGUGUCAAGUUAGCGGCUCCUUGUUGUGCGUGAGUUGGGUCACUGCCGUCCCCACAUGGCUGGACACAGGCUGUCAUGGAGCGGGGUGAGGCUGGCCCUGGGCCCCAUCCAGGCCUGCAGAGUGGAGUGGGUGUAGGGCCUUCACUGCCUGACACCUCCCCUCCUACAUUGGGUUUGCCAUGCCAUCUGGAAUAAUACUUGAAAUUUUGUUGUUUUUUUUUUUAAAAGUUUUAUUUUUUGUUGAAAUCACCUGUUAUGUUUGUUUGCAAGCUAGUAACUUUUUUGCUUCUUCUCAGGAAUACAGGUUUCCAUUGUUGUCUUGCUCUUGAUACUCAUUGAGAGGCAGCAGUCUAUCCGUGGGAGGACAGCCCCUCUUUGGGUUCUAAUAAAUGAGCUGUUUUGUUUCUC
This is a non-coding RNA of Heterocephalus glaber (naked mole-rat), 3104 nucleotides long. NCBI's taxonomy places the organism in Eukaryota, Metazoa, Chordata, Mammalia, Rodentia, Bathyergidae. The record is from RefSeq and is a predicted model, not a curated record.